UACCACGGUGUGGUUCAUGACUGGGGUGAAGUCGUAACAAGGUAGCCCUAGGGGAACCUGGGGCUGGAUCACCUCCUUACCUAAAGA
Molecule: ribosomal RNA, 87 nt
Filed under: Photobacterium phosphoreum
Lineage: Bacteria; Pseudomonadati; Pseudomonadota; Gammaproteobacteria; Vibrionales; Vibrionaceae
Also listed under: 2 other names
Description: partial 16S ribosomal RNA
Rfam family: Bacterial small subunit ribosomal RNA
Source: RNAcentral